UGCCUUAAUGUAUACGACAAAACACGUAAGAGUUAAAAGAAUUACUCAACCAGCAAAAAUAAGAUAACCUGUCUUCCUCAGCAUUUUAAAACACAAAUUAUUGAUCUGCAUAAUUAAGGAAAAUUAAAAACAUAAAAUAAGGAUUGGGUCUCAAAGGAUGACUAAUUAAUAAUAUAUCAAACUGAAAGCUGGGACUACUCUGUUCUGCCAAAUUUUGCCACCGAUUCACUUAUCUUGGGCAAGCUACUCCAUCUUUUUAUACCGCAGGUCCCCAACCUAUGAAGUUGGGUCAAUGAUAAUUACUCUUUUCACAAGACUGUUGUGAGAAUUAAUAUAAUGUAUGCAUCCAACUGGAUAAAAGAGGCUAUAAAAGUUUUAUUAUUUAGUGUUUCCGCAACAUUUGGCAUAAAAUUAUCCAGAUACCAUGUUCAUUACACCUAAAAAAAUUAUGACAUUUACAGGCUGCAAACAUGAAAACAAAUAAUGUUCUUUAAGAUAUUUUUGUAAUUAUAUUUUACACUGUAUUUAUUCUUGGUGUACAAGCUCUUGUUUCAGAGAUGAAGCAUUUUAAAUGCAUAAAUGUUUUGUGCACUUUUCUCUGCAAUGUACUCAGAGUUAAGAAACUGAUGGUUUAAUUAGGGAGGCCUGCUCAGUGGUGUGUAAAGCACUUUAGUUUAUGACAUCAUUGCUUCUGCUCCUAGGAAAAUGUGGUAAAAAUGCUCAGCACUUAAAAAGCUACAACAGGAACACAAUUACAUUUUAAAAUAACCUUUCAAAAUACAGAUAAAUACGUUAUGCUUUAUGUUUAUGCACUGAAACAUGAAACAUUUGGGGGGUUAGUUCUCCUUUAAUUUGGAAACUAGAAUAAAACUCUCCAAAAUACAGAUAUGUCCUUUGCUUAGAUAGUCAACCUACCCCCAUCAGCAUGAAUAUCCAUCUACUAGCCACUAAAACAGACAUAAACCAAAUCAAUGAUCAUCAGUCAGCAACAGAGCCCACUCUCAGAGUUUUACUUUUCCCCCUUAAAAAAGAAAUGAAGAAAGAUUUAGUUCUUCUUUAUACAUAACCUUUUUUUGGGGGGGAGGGAAGGGGGGGGUCAAAUUUCUUGAUUCUAAGUUACCACUGUGGAAGGCGCAUCUCCUUUUGUUAGCAGUUGUCUAACCUAAGCUCCAUGUAAGAAGAAUCUAUCUUCGUUUUACCAUAAUCACCCCCAAGGAAGUAAAUAUUUCUUUGUUUAGCAUCUUUCAGUGGAAAAGGUAACUUGAAGAAAUUUACAAGAUGUUUCCGAGACAUUAAGUAAUGUAAAAUGGGGAAGUGAAACAGCCAGAAGCUAAAUUAAACAAAGAGACAGGAAAGACCUGAGGAUGAGCCCCAGUGUCAUGUCUUGCACUACCAGACUUCUGACUCCAGUGUAAAACAAAACUUACCUGAAAAAUAGACAAACAUACCAUGAACUUUAAGUGGCAAAUCAGCAAUCUCAAAUCUAUGUUUUUGAAGAGAUUGCUCAUAUGAGUAAAGCUACUCAAGUGUAACUGUUUGAAGGAUCAGAUCCUAAAAACAGGAAUGCACUCAAUUUUACUUAGACUUGUGAUUUUGCUUCAUUUUCAUUUGGCUACAAAAAUUAUAUUUACUUUUGAGUACUUUUGUACCCAAAUAGUAGACAAUGAAAUGCGACAUGAAACAGGAACUGCAGUUCCUUCAAUAAAGUGGAGAGACUUGGCAAAUAAGACUUGCUGGAUAUAUUUAGUAAACUAUACAAAAUGAAGAUCACAUUUAUUAGGCUAUGAAAAUGUGACAACAGAUAAACACACUAUGUAUUUUAUUCCACUCUGCCUGUCCACAAAAUAUAUAAGAUACCUUUUAUUUAAUUAAUUUUUGUUUUAUUCCUUAAUCCAUUCAUUGUCUAUUAACAAAGGAAUACAACUUAGUCGUCAGACCAAUACUAAGAGCUGUAAUUCUCAAAUUACAAAAUAUUUCAGAUGAGAACUGAAGUUCACAUAUGUAAACUAUUUGCAAAGGUGCCUUAAAUUCUUAAGAUUAAGCUUUUACCUUUCUUUAAUGAAUGUAAUGCUGAUGUGAAGAAUGUCAAAUAACCAGGAGGCUGAGGUGAAGCAUUGAACUCAAAAUAUCCUAGAACUCCAGGCUGCAAGAAUAAGAAUUAGAGUUAGCUAAGCUAUUACAAAAGUACACAUUUAUGGGACACUGCAAUUAUUUAACUAUAGUAAAAAACAAACAGAUUAAACAUUAAUGGGCUGUUUUGUUUUGGAAAAACAAACUAGCCAUUUUUCUCUGCAAGAAAAGUGGAUCUUAAAGGAGGGGAAAAAAAUCAGCCAAUACUAUAAUUUGGAAAACGUGCACAAGACCAAAUCUGUAUAUAUGCAGAACACUAUAAUUUCAGUGUUACAUAUUUCCUCUGUUAGUGGUUACAUUAUUCUCUAAGCAAAUGGUAAUAAUUUAAAAUACUUGCAGGAGUCAAGCUUCAGCACCACCACGUUGAUGGAAUAUUUCAUUUUCUACAUAGCACCAUACUGCGUUCUUUUGAAAUUGAGAUUUGGGAUUUAAUGUGUCAUUGUACAAUGAAGUCAACUGUAACCCUUUUUCAACAUAAAAUACUUGGUUUUCUUUAAGUUUUUACUAUACUGUGCAUGAUUCACAUCUAUAUAUGAAGCCUCUGCAUGACUGCCAGUCUACAUCACACUGGGAAGCCAUCAGCCAUAUGAGAUUCUUGCAAGGGAAAUCAGUGAGAGACUGAUUUCACAAAAACAAAGGGAAGAAACCCAGAUCCUGGCCCAGGCAACCAGAUAAAACAAUUCAUCACACACUCAACUUGCACUGAUCAGGAGGCAUGUUCCCAGACCUGGAGCUCAGGUGUCGGACUCUUAUUCACACUUCAUUCUCUUGAUAACUGCACUGCUAUCUCGACAAAGAGCUACAAAAGAAACUAAGUCCACACCAGAGGACUACACACACACGGUGAAGAAAGAGAGAGAAAGGCAUUACAGAAUGAGAGAUGCUCAGAGCAAAAGCAGCAGUACCUGCAGCCCACAGGAAGGAACAGCAAGAACCCAAAAGCCAGGAAGAAAUCUUAAACCCUGCAAGAUUCCAUCACCAACUCUAAAGUUUUAGUUGAUACAUGCAGUCUUACAUAAACACUGACAAGGCUUAGGUUAACUUUAUUACUGAAAUUGAUUUUUACUUCAGUAUUGACAUAUUGUUGGAUCUUGACGUUUAUUAAUAGCUUCUUCUGUUAAACUUUGAAUAUCUGAACACCAUAUUCUUGGUAUUGCUGACCAAGCUAAACCUUUUAAUUUAAGAUCUCUGGACUGGGUCUUCAGUUGAUGUAAAUCAGCAUAGCUCUACUGACUUCAAUAGAGCUAUGCUGAUUUAUAACUGAGGAUCCAUCCUCAAUUUUAAUUAACUACCUGUCGCAGAUCACUAAUUAAAUGAAGUGAGGGUUUAAAAGAGAUUUUAAAUUGAGAUUUUAAGCAAAUACUAUUAAAGUGUCUUAUUUUAAAUGACUGAACAAAAGCUCUCCUCUCAGUUACUGAAUUUCAUAGU
Molecule: long non-coding RNA, 3558 nt
Organism: Chelonia mydas (Green sea turtle)
Lineage: Eukaryota; Metazoa; Chordata; Testudines; Cheloniidae
Exons: 3
Source: RefSeq, a predicted model, not a curated record